GAUGAACGCUGGCGGCGUGCCUAACACAUGCAAGUCGAACGCUCCGCAAGGGGAGUGGCGCACGGGUGAGGAACACGUAGUUGACCUGCCUUCGAGAGGGGGAUAACAGUUCGAAAGAACUGCUAAUACCGCAUAAUGUUACUUCCAAUAGCGGGGAGUAACCAAAGGCUACGGUCACUUGAAGAGGGGACUGCGACCUAUCAGGUAGUUGGUGGGGUAAAAGCCUACCAAGCCGACGACGGGUAGGGGGUCUGAGAGGAUGGCCCCCCACACUGGGACUGAGACACGGCCCAGACUCCUACGGGAGGCAGCAGUGAGGGAUAUUGCACAAUGGGGGAAACCCUGAUGCAGCGACGCCGCGUGGGUGAUGAAGGCUUUCGGGUCGUAAAACCCUUUUUGGCAUGACGAGAACGGACGGUAGUGCCAGAAUAAGUCUCGGCUAACUACGUGCCAGCAGCCGCGGUAAAACGUAGGAGGCAAGCGUUAUCCGGAGUUACUGGGCGUAAAGGGUGCGUAGGCGGCUCAUCAAGUGGGACGUGAAAGCUCACGGCUAAACUGUGAGAGGACGACUCAGACUGAAGGGCUAGAGGGUGUCAGAGGCGUGCGGAAUUCGGGGUGUAGCGGUGAAAUGUGUAGAGAUCCCGAGGAACACCAGUGGUGCAAACGGCGCGCUGGGACACAACUGACGCUGAAGCACGAAAGCGUGGGGAGCGAACGGGAUUAGAGACCCCGGUAGUCCACGCCGUANACGAUGUCAACUAGGUGUCUGCAAGGGGAAACCUGAGUGGGUGUCAAAGCUAACGCGAUAAGUUGACCGCCUGGGGAGUACGGUCGCAAGGCUAAAACUCAAAGGAAUUGACGGGGGCCCCGCACAGCAGCGGAGCGUGUGGUUUNAUUCGAGGCUACGCGAAGAACUUACCUGGGGUUGACAUCACGGUGGUAGGGCGACGAAAGUCAACCGACCUUCGGAAGCCGUGACAGGUGCUGCAUGGCUGUCGUCAGCUCGUGUCGUGAGAUGUUCGGUUAAANUCCGAAAACGAGCGCAACCCUCGGCGUUAGGUUACACGUGUCUAACGCGACCGCCCUCGAGAAGGGGAGGGAAGGUGGGGAUGACGUCAAGUCAGCAUGGCCUUUAUAUCCAGGGCUACACACACGCUGCAAUGGGGGACACAAUGGGCAGCGAAGGGGCGACCUGGAGCCAAUCCACCAAAGUCUUUCGUAGUUCGGAUUGCAGGCUGCAACUCGCCUGCAUGAAGCUGGAGUUGCUAGUAACCGUGCAUCAGCUACGGCACGGUGAAUACGUUCCCGGGCCUUGUACACACCGCCCGUCACGUCAUGGGAGCUGGUCACGCCUGAAGCCGAUGUGCGAACCGCAAGGAAGCAGUCGUCGAGGGCAGGGCUGGUGACUGGGACG
RNAcentral lists this ribosomal RNA (1414 nucleotides) under uncultured bacterium. Its description in RNAcentral is "bacterial SSU rRNA". It matches the Rfam family "Bacterial small subunit ribosomal RNA". The record is from RNAcentral.